RNAcentral lists this unclassified non-coding RNA (254 nucleotides) under Hevea brasiliensis (rubber tree). Lineage: Eukaryota; Viridiplantae; Streptophyta; Magnoliopsida; Malpighiales; Euphorbiaceae. The record is from RNAcentral.
CUUCAUAAUUAUCUUUAUGUGAAAUUAAUGGUUUUUGAAUAUUAGCUUGCUGGCCAAAAGUUUGAUCCUGAGUUGGUGGUCUACAAUGCUGGCACUGAUAUCCUAGAUGGAGAUCCACUAGGCAGGCUGAAGAUCAGUCCUGAUGGAAUAACUGCCAGAGACGAGAAGGUUUUCAUGUUUGCCCGUGAAAGGAAUGCUCCUCUUGUCAUGCUGACAUCAGGUGGUUAUACGAAGACCAGUGCUAGAGUUAUUGC